UACAGAGGUGGCAAGCGUUGUUCGGAAUUACUGGGCGUAAAGGGCGCGUAGGCGGUCUUGCAAGUCCUGUGUGAAAUCCCUCGGCUCAACUGAGGAACUGCACAGGAAACUGCUUGGCUUGAGUUCGGGAGAGGGAAGCGGAAUUCCGGGUGUAGCGGUGAAAUGCGUAGAUAUCCGGAGGAACACCGGUGGCGAAGGCGGCUUCCUGGACCGACACUGACGCUGAGGAGCGAAAGCCAGGGGAGCAAACGGG
RNAcentral lists this ribosomal RNA (253 nucleotides) under uncultured bacterium. Its description in RNAcentral is "partial 16S ribosomal RNA". It matches the Rfam family "Bacterial small subunit ribosomal RNA", at positions 524 to 776 of the family's 1533-position model. The record is from RNAcentral.